GAUGAACGCUAGCGAUAGGCCUAACACAUGCAAGUCGAGGGGCAUCACAUGAAGUAGCAAUACGGAUGGUGGCGACCGGCGCACGGGUGAGUAACACGUAUGCAACCUGCCUUCAACAAGGGGAUAACCCGUUGAAAGACGGACUAAUACCCUAUAACACAGGGGUCCCGCAUGGGAAUAUUUGUUAAAGGACAACCGGUUGAAGAUGGGCAUGCGUUCCAUUAGCUAGUUGGCGGGGUAACGGCCCACCAAGGCAACGAUGGAUAGGGGAACUGAGAGGUUUAUCCCCCACACUGGUACUGAGACACGGACCAGACUCCUACGGGAGGCAGCAGUGAGGAAUAUUGGUCAAUGGACGCAAGUCUGAACCAGCCACGUCGCGUGAAGGAAGACGGCCCUACGGGUUGUAAACUUCUUUUAUACGGGAAUAAAGUGCCCCACGCGUGGGGUUUUGCAUGUACCGUAUGAAUAAGAUCGGCUAACUCCGUGCCAGCAGCCGCGGUAAAUCACACUA
RNAcentral lists this ribosomal RNA (514 nucleotides) under uncultured bacterium. Its description in RNAcentral is "bacterial SSU rRNA". It matches the Rfam family "Bacterial small subunit ribosomal RNA", at positions 28 to 532 of the family's 1533-position model. The record is from RNAcentral.